UAUUAAAAAAAUUAUCCAUUUCGACUGUUAAAAAUUGGUGUGUCUGAUGAAAUAACUAGACAAUUACAUGUGACGUGCCACAUGUACCUCAUGCUAACAUACAUGAACCAAUUUUUAAUAGUAGAUUUGGAUGAAUUUUUAACA
This 144-nucleotide microRNA precursor is filed under the name Gossypium arboreum. Its description in RNAcentral is "MIR7502 microRNA precursor family". It matches the Rfam family "MIR7502 microRNA precursor family". Lineage: Eukaryota; Viridiplantae; Streptophyta; Magnoliopsida; Malvales; Malvaceae. The record is from Rfam by way of RNAcentral.